Long non-coding RNA from Gadus morhua (Atlantic cod), 4402 nucleotides. RefSeq lists it as uncharacterized. NCBI's taxonomy places the organism in Eukaryota, Metazoa, Chordata, Actinopteri, Gadiformes, Gadidae. The transcript has 3 exons. The record is from RefSeq and is a predicted model, not a curated record.
GACGCCGAGGCUCUUGACUUUGGAGGAGAAGGGUACUGGGAAUCCAUCGAUAAUUAUGAGUGGAGCUGGGGUGUGUAAAGAGGACGAUGACAUUCCUGCAGCUAUCUACGUUGACUUUGAUGAUCCUAAUGUUGGUAAGAUUCAGAGAUCAAAGUCAAAGAGGGUUCUUGAACGUUCAUCAGUCGUGGAAAAACAAGAAGACCAUGUGACCACUGCCGGAGGAAUUCGAAUUCAGCUACCUUUGUUUAUCUUGGGCGCAAACUGUACACAAAUGCCAGGGCUUAACUGUUGAAAGGGCUGUUGUAUCACUCAAAAAGAUCUUUGCUUCGGGUCAAGCUUAUGUUGCAUUGAGUCGUGUGAGAACUCUCAGUGGACUGAUAAUUGAGGACUUCAGAGAGUCAGUUAUAUUUUGUGACGAGAAAGUAGAGUCAGCUCUUGAAAACAUGCAAAAGUUCAGCUAUGGAAUGUCUUUUUUGUCUGAUGUGAAUCCUGUGUGCACAAUAGCUCUUCAUAACGUACAGAGUUUAAAUGCUCACAUUCAGGAUAUCGCAGCCCAUAAGUCACUCACCAAAGCUGAUUGUAUUUGUUUAACAGAGACUUGGCUCAACACAGGUUCCGAGGAACCGCAACUUCCAGGGUACACGUUCAAGCACAAUCCGAGAGAAAACUGUUACGAUGAUUCUGAACCGGUCUUUGCAGGGUUGAAACAACAACAAAGAGGUGGUGUUGGCAUGUAUUCUUGAGACAAAAUUGAUGUGCGGGUUUCAAUUCCAGGGAGAUGCAAUGUGGAAUGCUUUGAGAUACCACACGUUAAUUUGAUUGCUGUCAUUUUAUACAGACCCAGCUCCUAUAAGAUUGAUGCCUUUUGACAGCAUUUGUUACAGCUCGUCUUUGACCUUGACAAACAUCCUGGGAGGAAACUCAUCAUGGGAGACUUCAAUGAGGAUAUCUUUGUGUCGUCUACCAUUGGCAAGUUACUGGAACAGCAUGGGUACAGUCAACACGUGCACACAGCCACAACUGAAAAAGGUACGUUGAUAGAUCACGUGUACUGUAAAGAUGCAGGAGAUGUUACUGUUGAAGUUGUACCGACAUACUUCAGUUUUCAUGAAGCAAUACUUGUCUCACUGUUGUGAUGUAUUAUUUUGCAUUCAAAGACCGUGAGAUGUUCAGGAAUAUGUUAUCCGGUCAUUAUGUUAUACAUUGUGUCAUUAUCACUACCACAAAUAUACUCCGUCCGCCAACUGGGGUUUGGGUGGGUAAGGCAAGGAGAGAGCUUCACACUGGACGGCUCCUUGCAGGGGAUGGAAGGGUAAGGGUAGGCCAUUUUCCAAAAUAAGUUGCACAAAAGACAAGCUGAUGUGUGGUUCCACAGUGAUUUCACAUUGUGACCACCACACGAAAGACCCCAAAACACCCUAAUUCAAUGAAAAAUGAAAGAAAAUAAUGCUGUAUGGAUAAUAGGAAUCCUAAAUUGUUACUAAUAAUAAUAAUAAUAAUAUUGCUGUUGUUUGUAUGUUCUGUAUGUUAUAAACAAAGAAAACUUGGAUCUAAAUAAUAACAAUAAAAAUAAUAAUAAUACAUUUGAUUUGUAGAGCACUUUACAUUCAAAAAUCUCAGUGCUACAGAGUUUAAGAGACAGGGAGAGAGAGAAAAAGUUUAAACACAGCUGUAGUCUGUGGGGCCUUCAGGUGGUCAGGGAGGGCGUUCCAUUGUCUUGGGGAAGCAGCGGAGAAAGCCUGAUCGCCCAUGGUGCGGAUGUUGGUCUUAGGUCGUCAGAGGGUGUGUGCUGAUGCAGAGCAAAGUAAUGUUACUAGACUGACAUGAUGGUGAAAACAAACCAAAAAAAGAAAAAAUAACAGCUUGAGUGCAACUUAUUUUGGAAAAUGGCCAAAAAAUAGACCCCGUUUACUUUUUUUUAUUCACCAAGGCACCAAGGGAGGGGGGACCUGAUACAUUGUGUUGGAACUUCCAAUCAGGCAGUGAUAUGCAUUAUCAAUAGUAGUUGUUUGAACAGUUUUAUUUAUGUUGUCUUUUUUGGGCCCUCUUAAUCAAUCAAUUUUGUGGAAAAUAUCACCAGUACAAUGAGGAUGUUUUCAGCAGUAAAAACAGUGUUUUGUUAUCCUUAUACUUCAUGAAAAUAGAAUGGAUGUGUAUGAAGGCAAGCAAUGUAAUGGAAGUUUCAACAGAAAGCCAAAGAAAAAACGUUUAGAUAUGAGCAUGGCUGAAUAAGGUGAACCGGUGAUUUUAUUAGUAAUGCUAGGAUUAAUUUUUAUGCCAGUGGAUCAUGUCUGUGCUCCAACAAUCGAGUGUUAUCUGUAAUGUUGGAAAAAAAAAUGACAAACAAAUGUAGUUUAAAUUAUUGCAAAGGAAUACAAUGACUUGUGAACACUAAGCAGUGAUGCUACCUCAACAGAACUGAUGUGCACUUUUCAGGGAUAAAACAGGACACAUUUUUCUUAACAAAAUAGAGAAUUGCCUACUGCAUCCCAGAACACUACUGUUAAGAGUGAUGCAAAUAAUUGGCAUAAUGUACAUCUGUAUUUAAUGCUUUCCACUUGUGAUCCAUUUCUGUAAACACGGUCUUAUAAGCAAAGGGAUUAGGGUUACUUUACUACGAGUAGUACAGAUCAUUUAUUUUGUGUAAAAGUAAUGAUAGGCAUUAAUAGUGUUAGAUUAGGGUAGGAUGUUGUAAUUGUUUUGUUUUUUACCUAUGUGAUGUAUUACUUUGUUUUGCAUUUGGGAUUAUUUAUUAUUUUCUGAAGUCAUAGUCGCUUCUGUUCAUUUCAUUUCUGCUUUGUAUUGGGAUAUACUGUACUUGCUGGUAUAUGAGAUGUAUUUGUUUGCAAGUAAAAUGAAGAAGCACAAAAGGAGGGUCUGACCGUGCAGAGUAACUCUGUAAGACAAGAGAAGGCUAUCGAAAACACUCAGACAGAAAACCUGGCUGAGCUUCGGAACCCAGAGGACAUACAGCUUCAAAGUCAUUGAAUGCAUUACUCUUAAAGCAUCUUUUGUCAUGAAAAGCAGUACCAAUAUGUGAGUAUCUAUCUUCUUUUCCUUCUUUGCACAUUAAAUAUGACGGUGGCAUUUGUCCUGCCUGUACAGCCUGUUGACCAGAGCAUGUUGACACUUUUUUUGCAAGACCUGUGUAAACUACAAACACUCUAAAUGUAAGAAGUCUGACUGUCAGAAACACUCUUGUGAGAUGAGAUUAUAUGAGCAUCCAGAAUGGGUUCUGGAUGAAAAAUUACUCUUAUGAAUUGUAUAUAAACUGCAUAACACUGUUAAUGUAUGGUCCUGCUUUGUUUUACCUACACAGCCUGCUGAUGGAGAAAUACCUGGAAAAAAGCGUGUUGCUGCUCAUCUACCUUUUUCAUCGUUGAGACCUGAUCAAACUCAUCUAUUUUCACCUGUGGUGCAGACCUUCAGUAACAGAUCCACCUGUUGGAGCUUGCUCGAGCUCAUCCAUCUUCACCUGUAUCCCAAACUUCCAAGACCAAUCUGAACUACAAAAUCCACUGCUGCUAGAAGUUUGACUGUCCAUGAUGGUCUUGUGAGAUCACUUUCCUUAAUUUUUUAAAGCGUGUUACGGUGACUGGACUGGAUGCCUGGACUCUCCUCAUGGUUAACCGGCCAGCACCACAUCACCGUGUUAUAAAAUGAUUAAUCAUUUUAUGUUUAAUCGUUUUUUGUUUUAUAUUUGUUUUGUUUGUUUUUUAGCACUUUGGUGACCAAUUUAAUAUGAAGUGCAUGUGUUUACCUGUAUGUCAAUUAUGGCACCCACUCCUGACCAUCCCUGGAAGAAGGGAUCCCCUACUAUGCGUUUCUUCUCAAGAUUUCUUCCUUGCUAAUUUCAAGGGAGUUUUUUCUUGCCCUUGUGGGGGCUUGGGUAAAGGGGGGUGUCAUAAAUAUUUUACCUGUUAAGCCCUUUGUAAUGGUGAUUAAGGGCUAUACAAAUAAUACUUGAAUUGAUUCCAUUAGUUUGUAUAUUAUUUACGAUAUCAUGUCACAAGAUGGAUAAGACAACAAAACAAUGUUGUAUAUAUGCAUUAAGAGUAUUAAAAGUAGGUGGUGUGUGUGUUUGUUACUACCUUUUAUCAGUAGUUUUGUGCUAGGGAUUGCCAGGUUAGCACUAAUUGAGGUAUGAUUCAGUAUUUUCCACAUCACCCAUCAUCACUUAUAUGAUUAAACCCUGAGUACUUGCUUGUUUAUUUAGAGUGGCUUAACAGAAACGAUGCUGCCUAUCUCUUAGUAUUAACCACAAUAAUUAAACUCUUCAUGAUUUUUCCUACCAUUGACUGACUGGGUCUUAAUUAAUCAGUGGUACAAUCCCAAUUACAAUCAGGAGGAAGUGAACAUACUCUGAAUGCUAUGCUCUUACUCAAAUAAAUGUUGACACAGA